Molecule: ribosomal RNA, 404 nt
Filed under: uncultured bacterium
Lineage: Bacteria
Description: bacterial SSU rRNA
Rfam family: Bacterial small subunit ribosomal RNA
Source: RNAcentral
UGGGGAAUAUUGGACAAUGGACGAAAGUCUGAUCCAGCAAUACCGCGUGAGUGAUGAAGGCCUUAGGGUUGUAAAGCUCUUUUAGCAGGGAAGAUAAUGACGGUACCUGCAGAAAAAGCCCCGGCUAACUCCGUGCCAGCAGCCGCGGUAAGACGGAGGGGGCUAGCGUUGUUCGGAAUUACUGGGCGUAAAGAGCGCGUAGGCGGCUUGGCAAGUUGGAUGUGAAAGCCCGGGGCUUAACCUCGGAACUGCAUUCAAAACUGCUGAGCUAGAGUAUGGUAGGGGAUGAUGGAAUUCCUAGUGUAGAGGUGAAAUUCUUAGAUAUUAGGAGGAACACCGGUGGCGAAGGCGGUCAUCUGGGCCAUUACUGACGCUGAGGCGCGAAAGCGUGGGGAGCAAACAGG